GAAAUGCGAUACGCAGUGCGAAUUGCAGAACGCGAGUCAUCAGAUCUUUGAACGCAAGUGGCGCUGGUUAGCAGCCAGCAUGUGGGGUUCAGUGUGUUUGGAAAUCACAAACGCGGAAUGUGGUUGAAGUGUCCUCUUUUGGGCUCUUCUCCCAUUAAACCACGCAACAGGCGCUUCCUCUGCCCCCUAAACCAGGGUAGAGGCCGCACUCCUGUGCCCGGUAGUAGUCACUAGCAUCCUAGUGAUCUACGGGCACUCGUGUCGGUUGGCGUCCUCGAGGCGGCGGCCUUAAUCAGCCUCCUUCCCCUCAAAAACCUCUCCAUUCACUACACCUGAGCUCCGCAAGAUCACCCGCUGAACUUAA
Molecule: unclassified non-coding RNA, 364 nt
Filed under: uncultured fungus
Lineage: Eukaryota; Fungi
Description: sequence contains ITS1
Rfam family: 5.8S ribosomal RNA (bases 1-97)
Source: RNAcentral